GUUGGUUCAAUAAAUAAAUUAUAUAGAUACAGAGCUAGGACUACAACAUUGUCCUUCCCUUCCUCCCCUCUAAUUUCCUGUGUUCUGCAUAUUUGUUCAGCAAAUCUCUACUUUAUUAAUGCUUCAUCUUAUUCCUAUGUUUUAUUUGGAAUAGCCACUAAUAAUCUUGCUCUGACAACAGGACAUUGACGAAUAUGCAGUUAGUUUGACAAAUGAAUAUCAGUUGCUCCGACAACUGCACAUCUUGUUGCACUUAGUAGCGUGCUAAAUUAAAUUCAUUUAUUUUUCUAAUCUAUAGGUUUAGUACAGCAAGGUCAAGAGCAGCAAAAUAGAAUUGUAAAGGGGAAUCUUUUGAAAUAGAAGACACAAAAAGUAAAGUUGGAGCGCUUAUUGUUGACUUCUCAGGCCACGCCCUGCAACGGAACCAUGGCGACCAUGCAGCGACUCUCCUCGGCAGCGAGAUUUUCCUGCGUCUUGUAGACUCUCUCCUGCCUACGCGCCAACCAGUGAGCCACUACGGUAAAGCCCUUACCUAAAUUCCAACCGGCUUUUUUUUGGUUGAGAGAUAUGCACCUGAAUAUUCUACUAAUAUUUAAUUCGGUUAUUACCAAUAAAUCAAAGUCUUUCUCCCAUCCAUUCAGUUAGUAGUUGAAUACAAUCAUGGUAGUGACAGUAUUACCACAUAGUACAGUAAUAAGUUGCAGCUUCAUGUGGACUUUGCUCAACUGAAAUAGACAGUAUUGAACUGCAUAUACAUCCCUUUCAAUGACAUCAGUAGGUUGUCGAUCAGUAAUUAGAUUAUUUUUCAAUCACUUUAUUGGUUGCACUACGUUACUUUGAACAUUUUCCAUUUUCCAAGACUAAUACUGAGUUGUUUGCAUCAGUAUUCCAUUUUCCAUCUGCCCCUUUCAAAAUCAGGAUCAAUGCUACAUGCUGAUAGUGUACUUCUGUUGGCCGUAUAAAUUAUUACUGGUAAUUUAGAUGUCGUGUGCCUAUGAUAUGCAUGAAUGGUUCUUGUCGAUUCAGUAUAAAUGAAUUUCACUGGUUUACAUUGAUCGUUUAUGCACAAUCGCCGACAUUGAAGACAACCAUCUGCUAGGCUCGCCGCGGUCUGCUUAUAAAACCCAUCCCAAGCUGCUGCUCUCUCUCUAUGCCAAGCAUGCUGAGCUGCCCAGCUUCGCCGGUCCUUUGUUCCUUCCCUGAUUUCUUUCUAUUUCUGUUUUUAUAGAACACAGGCCACUGACCUUAUCUCCCUCUCCAGUGAUGGCGCAACCAAAAAAAUAAUUGUGAUCACAGAUAAUCCUGAGUAUCGACAAUUGUUUUAAUCCUACAUUCCUGAUCCUAAAAUAUGGAGAAAAUGAUUCUGAAACGUAUGUACGAUCAAAACACUCAGACUCAAGACAUACUUUGUCUGUUAUCUCAGGGACCAACCUUGUAUGUAGGAUUGACCAUCCUCAACCACGUCUCACUUGUCGAGUUGUCGUGUGCAGCGAUCAUCGGAAGCACAAACUAAUGCCAAAGGCAGGAAUAAUGAUCAUUUCCUACGGAUUUCAGUAUGAUCAUUUCCUAAUGCCAAUGGCAGGAAUAAUGAUCAUUUCCUACGGAUUUUAGUAGACAGGUAUAUGAAAUAAUGAUUAUUUCCUAUGGAUUUCAGUAUUAAAAAUCAUGUUUGUCCUGGUGUAGCUGGCUCCUGGUGUAUUCUGGUUUGAUCCUGCUGGACAAGAAGACUUCAGCAGCCAGGGCCAGCCGAUGCCAUCAGCAGCCAGGGCCAGCGGCCACCCUUACCAGCUGCAGCCGGGCCACUGACGACUGCCCAAGAAUUAUUUGAUUCCCAGUUAAUACGAAGAAUUCCUUAGAUGAUUCACAAAGGAAUUUAGAGUGCGUGAGGGAAUAUUUAUAUGUAUGGGAAUAUUUUUGUUGUAAGUUAAUACUUCCACAUUUAAGAUCUAUAUAUACAAAAGAUUUUCUUUA
Sorghum bicolor (sorghum) is the source of this 1971-nucleotide long non-coding RNA. RefSeq lists it as uncharacterized. The transcript has 3 exons. The record is from RefSeq and is a predicted model, not a curated record. NCBI's taxonomy places the organism in Eukaryota, Viridiplantae, Streptophyta, Magnoliopsida, Poales, Poaceae.